RNAcentral lists this ribosomal RNA (518 nucleotides) under uncultured Glomeraceae. Its description in RNAcentral is "SSU rRNA". It matches the Rfam family "Eukaryotic small subunit ribosomal RNA", at positions 569 to 1092 of the family's 1831-position model. Lineage: Eukaryota; Fungi; Glomeromycota; Glomeromycetes; Glomerales; Glomeraceae. The record is from RNAcentral.
AGCAGCCGCGGUAAUUCCAGCUCCAAUAGCGUAUAUUAAAGUUGUUGCAGUUAAAAGGCUCGUAGUUGAAUUUCGGGAUCAAUACGUCGGUCGUGCCUCGGUACGUACUAACGUUAUUGAUUUCUCCCUUCUAACAAAUCGUGAUGUCAUUAAUUUGGUGUUACGAGGAGUUAGGACUGUUACCUUGAAAAAAUUAGAGUGUUUAAAGCAGGCAAUCGCUCGAAUACAUUAGCAUGGAAUAAUGAAAUAGGACGUUCGAACCUAUUUUGUUGGUUUCUAGGAUCGACGUAAUGAUUAAUAGGGAUAGUUGGGGGCAUUAGUAUUCAAUUGUCAGAGGUGAAAUUCUUGGAUUUAUUGAAGACUAACUGCUGCGAAAGCAUUUGCCAAGGAUGUUUUCAUUAAUCAAGAACGAAAGUUAGGGGAUCGAAGACGAUCAGAUACCGUCGUAGUCUUAACCAUAAACUAUGCCGACUAGGGAUCGGAUGAUGUUAACUUAAUGACUCAUUCGGGGCCUUACG